This 253-nucleotide ribosomal RNA is filed under the name uncultured bacterium. Its description in RNAcentral is "partial 16S ribosomal RNA". It matches the Rfam family "Bacterial small subunit ribosomal RNA", at positions 524 to 776 of the family's 1533-position model. The record is from RNAcentral.
UACGUAGGCAGCAAGCGUUGUUCGGAGUUACUGGGCGUAAAGGGUGUGUAGGCGGUUCUUUAAGUUUGGUGUGAAAUCUCCCGGCUCAACUGGGAGGGUGCGCCGAAUACUGAGGGACUAGAGUACGGGAGAGGAAAGUGGAAUUCCUGGUGUAGCGGUGAAAUGCGUAGAUAUCAGGAGGAACACCGGUGGUGUAAACGGCUCACUGGACCGUAACUGACGCUGAGACACGAAAGCGUGGGUAGCAAACAGG